This 492-nucleotide ribosomal RNA is filed under the name uncultured bacterium. RNAcentral's name for it is "bacterial SSU rRNA". It matches the Rfam family "Bacterial small subunit ribosomal RNA", at positions 28 to 524 of the family's 1533-position model. The record is from RNAcentral.
GACGAACGCUGGCGGCGUGCCUAACACAUGCAAGUCGAGCGGGAACCUCAGGAGGGGUAACCCACCUGAGGGGAGAGCGGCGAACGGGUGAGUAUCACGUGGGCAACCUGCCCCGGACACCGGGAUAACCCAGGGAAACCUGAGCUAAUACCGGAUACUCCGGCGCGACCACAUGGUCGCUCCGGGAAAGCCUUGACGGUCCGGGAUGGGCCCGCGGCCUAUCAGCUUGUUGGUGGGGUAACGGCCCACCAAGGCGACGACGGGUAGCUGGUCUGAGAGGACGGCCAGCCACACUGGGACUGAGACACGGCCCAGACUCCUACGGGAGGCAGCAGUGGGGGAUCUUGCGCUAAUGCGCGAAAGCGUGACGCAGCGACGCCGCGUGGGGAUGAAGGCCCUCGGGUUGUAAACCCCUUUCGGCAGGGACGAAGCGAAAGUGACGGUACCUGCAGAAGAAGUCCCGGCUAACUACGUGCCAGCCGCCGCCGUAAU